Molecule: ribosomal RNA, 501 nt
Filed under: uncultured bacterium
Lineage: Bacteria
Description: partial 16S ribosomal RNA
Rfam family: Bacterial small subunit ribosomal RNA
Source: RNAcentral
AUUGGACGCUGGCGGCAGGCUUAACACAUGCAAGUCGAGCGGGGGAAGGUAGCUUGCUACCGGACCUAGCGGCGGACGGGUGAGUAAUGCUUAGGAAUCUGCCUAUUAGUGGGGGACAACAUCUCGAAAGGGAUGCUAAUACCGCAUACGUCCUACGGGAGAAAGCAGGGGAUCUUCGGACCUUGCGCUAAUAGAUGGGCCUAAGUCGGAUUAGCUAGUUGGUGGGGUAGAGGCCUACCAAGGCGACGAUCUGUAGCGGGUCUGAGAGGAUGAUCUGCCACACUGGGACUGAGACACGGCCCAGACUCCUACGGGAGGCAGCAGUGGGGAAUAUUGGACAAUGGGGGGAACCCUGAUCCAGCCAUGCCGCGUGUGUGAAGAAGGCCUUAUGGUUGUAAAGCACUUUAAGCGAGGAGGAGGCUACUCUAGUUAAUACCUAGGGAUAGUGGACGUUACUCGCAGAAUAAGCACCGGCUAACUCUGUGCCAGCCGCCGCAGUAA